GGUUGUGGCUCAGUGGCAGAGCGCUUGCCUAGCAUGCAUGAGGCACCGGGUUCAACUCCUGGCACCA
RNAcentral lists this transfer RNA (67 nucleotides) under Marmota monax (woodchuck). RNAcentral's name for it is "tRNA.Ala". It matches the Rfam family "tRNA". Rfam says of the family: Transfer RNA (tRNA) molecules are approximately 80 nucleotides in length. Their secondary structure includes four short double-helical elements and three loops (D, anti-codon, and T loops). Further hydrogen bonds mediate the characteristic L-shaped molecular structure. tRNAs have two regions of fundamental functional importance: the anti-codon, which is responsible for specific mRNA codon recognition, and the 3' end, to which the tRNAs corresponding amino acid is attached (by aminoacyl-tRNA synthetases). tRNAs cope with the degeneracy of the genetic code in two manners: having more than one tRNA (with a specific anti-codon) for a particular amino acid; and 'wobble' base-pairing, i.e. permitting non-standard base-pairing at the 3rd anti-codon position. Lineage: Eukaryota; Metazoa; Chordata; Mammalia; Rodentia; Sciuridae. The record is from RNAcentral.